AGAUUGAACGCUGGCGGCAUGCUUUACACAUGCAAGUCGAACGGCAGCGCGGGGCAACCUGGCGGCGAGUGGCGAACGGGUGAGUAAUAUAUCGGAACGUACCCAAGAGUGGGGGAUAACGUAGCGAAAGUUACGCUAAUACCGCAUACGAUCCAAGGAUGAAAGCAGGGGACCGCAAGGCCUUGUGCUCCUGGAGCGGCCGAUAUCUGAUUAGCUAGUUGGUAGGGUAAAGCCUACCAAGGCUACGAUCAGUAGCUGGUCUGAGAGGACGACCAGCCACACUGGAACUGAGACACGGUCCAGACUCCUACGGGAGGCAGCAGUGGGGAAUUUGGACAAGUGGGCGCGAAGCCUGGAUCCAGCAAUGCCGCGUGAGUGAAGAAGGCCUUCGGUUGUAAGCUUCUUUGCAGGAAGGAACGGUGGAGCUAAGUAUACUCCGCUAAGUGACGUACUAGAAGAAUAGCAACCGGCUAACACGUGACCAG
This 485-nucleotide ribosomal RNA is filed under the name uncultured soil bacterium. Its description in RNAcentral is "bacterial SSU rRNA". It matches the Rfam family "Bacterial small subunit ribosomal RNA", at positions 26 to 511 of the family's 1533-position model. The record is from RNAcentral.